UGGGAUAAGCCUGGGAAAACUGGGUCUAAUACCGGAUAUGACUCCUCAUCGCAUGGUGGGGGGUGGAAAGCUUUUUGUGGUUUUGGAUGGACUCGCGGCCUAUCAGCUUGUUGGUGAGGUAAUGGCUCACCAAGGCGACGACGGGUAGCCGGCCUGAGAGGGUGACCGGCCACACUGGGACUGAGACACGGCCCAGACUCCUACGGGAGGCAGCAGUGGGGAAUAUUGCACAAUGGGCGAAAGCCUGAUGCAGCGACGCCGCGUGAGGGAUGACGGCCUUCGGGUUGUAAACCUCUUUCAGUAGGGAAGAAGCGAAAGUGACGGUACCUGCAGAAGAAGCGCCGGCUAACUACGUGCCAGCAGCCGCGGUAAUACGUAGGGCGCAAGCGUUAUCCGGAAUUAUUGGGCGUAAAGAGCUCGUAGGCGGUUUGUCGCGUCUGCCGUGAAAGUCCGGGGCUCAACUCCGGAUCUGCGGUGGGUACGGGCAGACUAGAGUGAUGUAGGGGAGACUGGAAUUCCUGGUGUAGCGGUGAAAUGCGCAGAUAUCAGGAGGAACACCGAUGGCGAAGGCAGGUCUCUGGGCAUUAACUGACGCUGAGGAGCGAAAGCAUGGGGAGCGAACAGGAUUAGAUACCCUGGUAGUCCAUGCCGUAAACGUUGGGCACUAGGUGUGGGGGACAUUCCACGUUUUCCGCGCCGUAGCUAACGCAUUAAGUGCCCCGCCUGGGGAGUACGGCUGCAAGGCUAAAACUCAAAGGAAUUGACGG
This 767-nucleotide ribosomal RNA is filed under the name uncultured bacterium. Its description in RNAcentral is "bacterial SSU rRNA". It matches the Rfam family "Bacterial small subunit ribosomal RNA", at positions 139 to 916 of the family's 1533-position model. The record is from RNAcentral.